ACAAAGGCAGCAAGUUCGCAGGACAAGCAAAUCCCAUAAACCGUGGCUCAGUUCAGAUCGUAGGCUGCAACUCGCCUACGUGAAGUAGGAAUCGCUAGUAAUCGCAGGUCAGCAUACUGCGGUGAAUACGUUCCCGGGCCUUGUACACACCGCCCGUCACACCAUGGAAGUUGGCCACGCCCGAAGCCGUUACUCCAACCCUUGUGGAGGAGGACGUCGAAGGUGGGGCUGAUGACUGGGGUGAAGUCGUAACAAGGUAGCCGUACCGGAAGGUGCGGCUGGAUCACCUCCUAA
Molecule: ribosomal RNA, 294 nt
Filed under: uncultured Synechococcus sp.
Lineage: Bacteria; Bacillati; Cyanobacteriota; Cyanophyceae; Synechococcales; Synechococcaceae
Description: partial 16S ribosomal RNA
Rfam family: Bacterial small subunit ribosomal RNA
Source: RNAcentral